Molecule: ribosomal RNA, 512 nt
Filed under: Yersinia enterocolitica
Lineage: Bacteria; Pseudomonadati; Pseudomonadota; Gammaproteobacteria; Enterobacterales; Yersiniaceae
Description: partial 23S ribosomal RNA
Rfam family: Bacterial large subunit ribosomal RNA
Source: RNAcentral
AAACCCGGUGAUCUAGCCAUGGGCAGGUUGAAGGUUGGGUAACACUAACUGGAGGACCGAACCGACUAAUGUUGAAAAAUUAGCGGAUGACUUGUGGCUGGGGGUGAAAGGCCAAUCAAACCGGGAGAUAGCUGGUUCUCCCCGAAAGCUAUUUAGGUAGCGCCUCGUGAACUCAUCUUCGGGGGUAGAGCACUGUUUCGGCUAGGGGGUCAUCCCGACUUACCAAACCGAUGCAAACUCCGAAUACCGAAGAAUGUUAUCACGGGAGACACACGGCGGGUGCUAACGUCCGUCGUGAAGAGGGAAACAACCCAGACCGCCAGCUAAGGUCCCAAAGUCAUGGUUAAGUGGGAAACGAUGUGGGAAGGCACAGACAGCCAGGAUGUUGGCUUAGAAGCAGCCAUCAUUUAAAGAAAGCGUAAUAGCUCACUGGUCGAGUCGGCCUGCGCGGAAGAUGUAACGGGGCUAAACCAUGCACCGAAGCUGCGGCAGCGAACGUAUCACUUAAAACG